UACGGGGGGGGCAAGCGUUGUUCGGAAUUACUGGGCGUAAAGGGCUCGUAGGCGGCCAACUAAGUCAGACGUGAAAUCCCUCGGCUUAACCGGGGAACUGCGUCUGAUACUGGAUGGCUUGAGGUUGGGAGAGGGAUGCGGAAUUCCAGGUGUAGCGGUGAAAUGCGUAGAUAUCGGGAGGAACACCUGUGGCGAAAGCGGCUCACUGGACCAUAACUGACGCUGAUGCACGAAAGCUGGGGGAGCAAACAGG
RNAcentral lists this ribosomal RNA (253 nucleotides) under uncultured bacterium. RNAcentral describes it as "partial 16S ribosomal RNA". It matches the Rfam family "Bacterial small subunit ribosomal RNA", at positions 524 to 776 of the family's 1533-position model. The record is from RNAcentral.